This 72-nucleotide transfer RNA is filed under the name Camelus ferus (Wild Bactrian camel). It matches the Rfam family "tRNA". Rfam says of the family: Transfer RNA (tRNA) molecules are approximately 80 nucleotides in length. Their secondary structure includes four short double-helical elements and three loops (D, anti-codon, and T loops). Further hydrogen bonds mediate the characteristic L-shaped molecular structure. tRNAs have two regions of fundamental functional importance: the anti-codon, which is responsible for specific mRNA codon recognition, and the 3' end, to which the tRNAs corresponding amino acid is attached (by aminoacyl-tRNA synthetases). tRNAs cope with the degeneracy of the genetic code in two manners: having more than one tRNA (with a specific anti-codon) for a particular amino acid; and 'wobble' base-pairing, i.e. permitting non-standard base-pairing at the 3rd anti-codon position. Lineage: Eukaryota; Metazoa; Chordata; Mammalia; Artiodactyla; Camelidae. The record is from Rfam by way of RNAcentral.
GUGGGUAUAGCUCAGUGGUAGAGCACAUGCUUAGCAUACAUGAGGUCCUGGAUUCAAUCCCCAGUUCCUCCA